ACUUCUUUAUCACCGAGUGCUUGCACUCACCGAUAAAGAGUUGAGUGGCGAACGGGUGAGUAACACGUGGGCAACCUGCCCAAAAGAGGGGGAUAACACUUGGAAACAGGUGCUAAUACCGCAUAACCAUAGUUACCGCAUGGUAACUAUGUAAAAGGUGGCUAUGCUACCGCUUUUGGAUGGGCCCGCGGCGCAUUAGCUAGUUGGUGGGGUAAAGGCUUACCAAGGCAAUGAUGCGUAGCCGAACUGAGAGGUUGAUCGGCCACAUUGGGACUGAGACACGGCCCAAACUCCUACGGGAGGCAGCAGUAGGGAAUCUUCCACAAUGGGCGAAAGCCUGAUGGAGCAACGCCGCGUGGGUGAAGAAGGUCUUCGGAUCGUAAAACCCUGUUGUUAGAGAAGAAAGUGCGUGAGAGUAACUGUUCACGUUUCGACGGUAUCUAACCAGAAAGCCACGGCUAACUACGUGCCAGCAGCCGCGGUAAUACGUAGGUGGCAAGCGUUAUCCGGAUUUAUUGGGCGUAAAGGGAACGCAGGCGGUCUUUUAAGUCUGAUGUGAAAGCCUUCGGCUUAACCGGAGUAGUGCAUUGGAAACUGGGAGACUUGAGUGCAGAAGAGGAGAGUGGAACUCCAUGUGUAGCGGUGAAAUGCGUAGAUAUAUGGAAGAACACCAGUGGCGAAAGCGGCUCUCUGGUCUGUAACUGACGCUGAGGUUCGAAAGCGUGGGUAGCAAACAGGAUUAGAUACCCUGGUAGUCCACGCCGUAAACG
This 770-nucleotide ribosomal RNA is filed under the name uncultured bacterium. RNAcentral's name for it is "bacterial SSU rRNA". It matches the Rfam family "Bacterial small subunit ribosomal RNA", at positions 69 to 808 of the family's 1533-position model. The record is from RNAcentral.